GUUCCAGCCCGUCGUGUGCUGUAACUGCCGCGGGACAGGGAAGCCGGGCUGUGGACAGAAACGGAGCCCUACGGCUCAGGGGCUGGAGUCCUCGCGCCCCACGUGGCUGUAGUCACCCCACGGGCCUUCAGGGGGGCGACUAAGGCCACGGGGGGGUCAUAGGGCGAGGCCUGGUUCCAUAGGACCCGCGUCCUUAGCAGAGGGAGACGCGCCCAGGACCUGCCCGGAGGGAAGGCCGUCGGAGGACACGGCGAGAAGGCGGCUGUGUACACGACCGGGGGGUGGCCUCGGGGGAGACCUGCGACUCCUGGACCUUGGACUUCCAGGCUCUAGGACUGAGGGGUGGGUCGCGUCUUAACGGGCUCAGGGGGCUGGGGGUUGGGGGCCGGUUAUGGCCGUGCCCUCCCCGCCCGAGCCGGUCACGGCCCCCGCGGCAGAUGCGCACGCUCGACCGGGGUCUGCUCCUGCUCCCACUUUGCAAGUCAGAGGGUCAGAGCGUGAGACCCUUUCUUGGCCUCUGGCCUCCUGCUCUGAGCCGCCCGCUCUGCUCCCACGGCCCUGGACCUGCCCCGCUGGGGGAGGCAGGUGGGCGCUGGUGCCCCUAGAGGGCCGCCCGGGGCCCCGUGAGAGCGUGCCGAGCCGUCCAGCUGUGACAACAGGCUGGUGGCCGGUGGGGGAGGGGGUGGUCUGCAGCCUCGCCAGCUGUGCCCGAGGCGGGUGCACCCACCCCGGGCUGACACGGGCCCUGGGUGCGCGAUGGGCUCCUCCCGGGGCAGUGAGGGCGGCAGGAAGCGGCUGGUGCUCCUCCAGGAGGGCACCCGGCCUGGGUCACGUGGGAAAAGGAGAGAAACUGGCCCUCGCAGGACUUGGGCUCGCCACGGCCGGGACGGCGCCGCGUCCCAGAGCUUUCCUGGUGGACCACAUCCUGCCGGGGCAGCGAAGACGAGGCCUCGGGCUGUCGGGAUUUCCAGGGAGCGCGAGGGCCACCCUAGUGUCCGGCCGUGGCCUCUGCACCCCGAUCUGGCUCUGCCCGGGGACGUUUCCGAGGAGAGCUCCCAGCGGUCUUGGCAACAGCAGAUGGAGUCCCGUCACCAGGGAGAAGGUGCCGAGCGACCUGGACACCAAGGGACUCCUUCCAGCUGGCCGCGCGGGAGGACCGACUGACUCUCGAAGCCAGAAGUGGGAUCCCUGACCCAGCACAUGGCCAGCUGCAGCCGAGGCGGGAGGGCGUGUCACUGGGUAGACUGGGGACGGCACGAUGGCGGCGCGCCAGGAAGCCUGAGGGCAGGUGCGGUUGCGCGUAGGGCGUAGGAUGCCAAACCCCAAGUGCCAGGGCGUCAUGAGCUCAGGAGGGAAGACAGCCGAAGGACGCCAGCCUCGCGGUGGCAGGGCCACGUGGAGGGCCCGCCGGCCUGGGCCGCAUGGCCACUGCGCAGGCUGCUCCCCGGGGCACACACCUGCCAGGCCUCCGCCCCGCGGCGUGAACGUGCGUCCCCGGGGCACCGCUGUGCCGGUGAAGACACGGAGCGGGGCCGGGAGGUCGCGGCCAGCUUGUGGGCUUUCCGGGCUCGCUGCUCCCCUCGGCUCCCUGCCUGCUGGAAGCGCUCUCGCGUCCCGACUCCAUCCCAACUUCCGAGCGCGAGGGACCCUCCCUGUGGCCCUGGGGGGACGAGGGUUCAGACGCUUGUCACCUUCAGCCUCCUGCCAAUUGUAAAUCGCUGCAAAAGUCGAGGAGGGCACGCUUUCCUGGUCUGAUCCUGAUACGGAAUCGUCUUCUUGUGGCCGUUCCUUCUGGAAUUCCCUGCUGCCCACCGGGAGAGAGCCUGGCAGGCCGUCGACAGGCCUCAGCACGCCCCAGAUAUGCCCAGGCCCUCGCCCGCGUCGUAGUCCCUGUCACAGAGCAGUGGCUUCUCACCCUGGGUCUAAGCACCCUGACGCUCCUGACCUGAGGCGCCCUGGCUGCUGGGACGGGCUCCCUGAGCGCGGAGCCGGUGCCUUGGGUCGGGGCCAGGGGUGGGCGCGGCCCUCCGGGGGCUCACGGCCCCUCUGGGGGCUUUGCCGGGCGCUGCCACUGCUCGUCCAAGGCCUAUGCCCUCCUGCCGCGUUGGCAGCCCCGAGUCCUGGCGGGGGUGGGGGGCCGAGGGAGCAAGCACGCGUCCCAGAGCAGCGAUGCCCAGCCCCGCGCCCUGCACCCCAUGCCCCCUGCGGCGCCCAGGCCUGCAUCGGAGACGUCACGCUCAGCACGUCCCACCCGCCCAGGAAACCAGGCCCCGGUCGUGCCGCCGGAUGAUGCUUCAGGGCGAUGCUCCAGACGCAGCGCUUCCCGGGAACGGCCCUGGCCCCACGCAGGCCCCACGCACCCGCCUCGGGGGCUCCUCAGCCCAGGGCCGGGUUUUGAGUGAGGUGGUGCCGGGGGGCAGGGGGGGGCUUCCUGGCCUCGAGCUCUGCAGCAGCAACAUCUGCUUUAUGAGAAACGGAGCUUCAACCAUCGGGGCUCCUGGGUUUCUCCUCCGAGUUCCCGACCGACUGUGCCUUCUCUACAUUCUUGAGGUGACAUUUAAAGCUCCAAGUAGGUAAUGCGAAAGGGAGGUAUUUUAUAUGUUAAAGUUCACGCGUGUCCCGGCUCCUCCUGGAGGACCUGCUUCACUAGCGUCCCACGGACGGGGUCCUUGAGGGGUGUGGACGGGCCCGCACGGAGCUCGCAUGGAGACGCCGGGCUCGGCCGCAGAUCCCCUCCUGCCGGGGCCCGGCCUGGGGAAGACGCCGCGCCUCCUGCCAAAUCCGGGCUCCGUGUUCCCUCGGACGGGCCGUGCUCCCGCGGAGCCCGGAGGCUCAGAGCCCGGCCGGGUUGGCUGGAGCUCUCCCUCCUCUUAGGCUUUGCCUUCCUUGCACGUGUUAUUAUUAUUUGAGUGGAUGUAUCCUUUUUGGCAUGUUCUGCAAACAAUCGACUUGAGGGUUGAGAGAGACAAGAAGAGAGAGGAAGGAGGUGCUGUCGUCCGAUCCUGACAGGGCCUGUGCCGGCCGCGGGGCAGGGAAGGGGCUGCCUCGGCCCGGGGGGCGCGGACGGUGCCGGCGUCCCCUCUGCCUCCGCUCCGGACCGACUGAGACGGAUCCCGUUCCUGGUCUCCGGCGUCCUUUGUGUUUUUAACGAUCGUCGCGGCUCAUCGAUCUGUCAGCCUUCCGCGGCAGCGUCCCGGGGGAAAGGCAGAGGCAAAAGCCCCUGCUGGAUGUGGCAAAGGACAGUCUGGCGACACGGAGGCCAGCCCGAGUUCAGGGCAGGUGGGGCUCUGCGGGGUCCUCGGCUGCUGCCGGCACCUGCUGGGCCAGGGCCAUGUCACACAGAAGCCACCCAAGGGAGGUCUCGGCCCCGAGGCUCAGCAUCGCUGUGAUGGAGGCCUUGGUCCUGCAGGCCCAGGCUGGGGAGUGUCGGGUGUGUGUGCGUGCAUGGUCCUGCCGGAGCACCAGCUGGGGCGCACGUCCAGGAGGGAGGCACAAGCGUCUGCGGGGCCCCCCGGGUGCCUCCAGGGGACCACGUGGCGUCACCCAGGAGCCAGAAGGCUGAUUGCCAACCGCAGGCGUCAGGGAAGCCGACCGCCAGCCCGAGGCAGGUGCCUCGCAGGAAAUCCGUGUCUGUUGAGGCUCAGGAACGGACACGUGAGCAAGAAAAUUGAUUUCAGAGGGAUUCUCACGGGCCUUGUGUUAGAGUAGCCUCCAGUCCCUGUCCGCAGGAGGUGAGCCCACCUUGGGUCUGUCCCCCCGAGGGCCGGCGGGGUGACCCUGCCGGGGGGUGGGCCGUGCCCACGCAGAGGGGACCCCCUGCCCCAGCCCGGGGUCCCGGCCCCCAGCCCCGAGACAGGCCGGGUGCCGGGAGGGCGACGGGGCUGAGGGCAGGCGUGAGCCCAGGGGACGGGGACCCGGACGGGCGAGGGGGGACCCGGGGUUCCAGCCCCGAGCCCCAGGCAGCUGUGGUGGGGGCCCCGGGGAGACCCCCGCUGUCCCCUCUGGGCGGGAAGGUCGUGACACUGGGGCCUGCUUGGAGAGUCGCUGGGUUCAGGACGCCUGGGCCCCGAUGCCGGGGGGUGACAUCCUUCAGGGUGAAGCCUUCAGGGGGCCCUGCCUGAGGGGCUGCGUCCUCGGCUCCUGGGGGUCGGGUCGCUGUGAGGAUCCCGGGCUCCCGACCAGGGACGUGAAACCCGAGGGCUGCACGGAUUUUCCGGUCGCCCAGAGAGCGAGUGUCAGCGUGGGCGCCCCUUGGGCCCCGACCACCCUGCUGCCCUGGGGUUGUACCCCCAGAGCUCGAGGGGUCGAGGGCCCCGGUUGGUGCUUCUGUGUGAGUGGGGGCAAGCGGAGGGCGGGAAGGCCCGCAGCCCCUGACGACCCCCAGCCCCUGACCACCCCAACCCCUGACUGCCCUGUAGCCCCCGAUCGCCCCCAUCCCCCAACCGCCCGCAGGCCCCUCCACGCCGACUGCCCACAGGAACACAGGUCAACUCCUCACCACCUCUGGGGGCUCCCAGCCCAGAGACGAUGGGAGGACAGACGCCUGGGGGAGUGGGAAGGCCACAGAGGAGGGGGUUUGCGGGUGGCCACGGCCCCCUGCUCCGUGCGGAACCCCAUGUGCUUCCCCACACGGCCUGUGCUGUGCCCUGGCCUCGGAGCAGGGGUUGUAGGGCCGGGACCGGGGCCUCCUGCAUCCCGAAGAGGUGGCUUCUGGGAGAACUUACAAAGAUGCAUUGGGAGGCAGAGGGUGGGGCCAGCCAGCCCUGGAGGCCCCGCAGAAGCCCCCGCCCCGGCCAGGGCGCAGCACCACCCGCGUGCCUUGGGCCCCCGGGAGGCACGUGCACCCGGACCUUUGUGGCCUAGACGCGGGUGGGGGGAGCGCCCAGAAUCCCAGUGUUAACCUGGUGAAGGUGGGGGUGUCCCUUUGGAAUUGCUGGGCAGGCCCUCAUCAGCGUGGGGGGGCACAACGGAGGCCUCUGGCAGGUGCCCUGCCCCCCACGGCUGCCCUGCCAGCCCACCUGCAGGCUGCCGGGUGCCCCGGCCUGGGGGCUGCCCCCAAAGGGCGUCUGCGGCAGGUGGGGGCGAGGGCCAGUGGGUCUGCAUGUCACGCGCCUGUGAGAUGGGGAAACCGAGGCACCAGCAGUGGGUGCUCCCGCUGCCGCGCUGCCCGGGGGGGCCGGGGAUGGCGGGUCCAGUGCUCGGUGUGACCGUCCGCCGCCGAGAGCCUCAGACCUUCCCUCCAAGGCAACAGCGUCCCGGGCGUGGAGAAGCCGGGGCCCCACUGGGUGUGACUGUGGACGUCACAGGCGCCGGCCCCCCGCGUUGCACCCAGAGCCUCAGGGUGACCCUGGCGGGCGGCAGCCUCAUCUCCUCGACGAGCGAGUGACCCCUGGACGCGGGCAGCCCCGGGGACUCGGCCGGCACACCCGCCGUCUCCCGGGAAGGCCGGCCACCCGCACGGUCCGGGCUCAGGCCUCCGCGUGAAGAGCUCCCACGGCCGACGUGGGGCCGCGCUGUCCUCGGGGGAGGCCACGCCGACCUCGGCACGUCCAGCUCUGACCUCCUAUCUCACGCCCGAGCCGCUCGUUCAACCGAGGGAGGUUUUUUCCGUCUGGGGGAGCUUGCUUGUGACGCGGAGGUGGGCGGCUGGUGGUUUCCGUGCGGGCCGGCUGGACGGGCUGCUCCGCCUGCGUGGGGCCUG
This is a long non-coding RNA of Canis lupus familiaris (dog), 5701 nucleotides long. RefSeq lists it as uncharacterized. NCBI's taxonomy places the organism in Eukaryota, Metazoa, Chordata, Mammalia, Carnivora, Canidae. The record is from RefSeq and is a predicted model, not a curated record. The transcript has 5 exons.